CACAUUUAUUGUUUGUUUUUAGCUUGGACGCUUGCUGGCUAAGUCUAGCUAGCGUUCGCAUCAAAGCUUACCGCUAUUAUUAAAUCGGACAAACAACUAUAUUGUUUCUUAUUUAUCUUUCAUUAAGCGACACAUUUGAUUCUUUUUUUUUUUCUCCGACAUUAAUGUCAUCCGAUGUACUCCUGUCCGGUGUGGUUUUCGAAAGCUAGUUAGCGUUAAUAUCAGCUAACGUUAAUUUUAGGUGGUUCUGUUUUGUCGGUUUUAUUCUCUAGCUAGCUAGCUAAGAGUUUUUACAACGAUUUGUAGCUACCUAUCUUUUGUUGGAAGUAACACGUUUGAAGAAAAUUACUCUGUUACCAGUUAAAAGGCAAGGAAGACAACAUGCCGGUACAUUCUUGAGAAAAGGAAGAGAGUAACCGGUACGAGGAGAUGGAAGUCGAUUAUCCCGAACAAGAUGGGAGCAGUUCAGACGAGGAUGACACUGAGCUUGUCCGUGUCAGAGGAUGGGGAUAGCUCGGAGAUGGACGAUGAGGACUGUGAAAGGAGAAGGAUAUAGUGCCUUGAUGAAAUGACAAAUCUGGAGAAACAAUUUGGAGACCUGAAAGACCAGUUGUACAAGGAUAGGUUGAGUCAGGUGGAUGCUAAACUCCAGGAGGUGAUUGCGGGCAAGGCUUCGGAGUACCUGGACCUCUGGCAAAUCUGCAGGAGAACAUGCAGAUCAGAACAAAGGUUGCGGAGCUCUGGAAUGAUGAGCUGCAGUCAAGGAAGAACAAGAGGAAAGAUCCAUUUAGUCCAGACAAAAAUAAAAAGCCAGUUGUGUCAGACAUCCUAUUUCAUCAUUCAAGUCUCAACAGAAAUUAGUCUUGCAUGCAAGAUGGUUUUUUGAACAAUCUUAGUCUGUUGUUGUCAUGUGUACUUUUACUUGUCCCCCCCACACCACUUCCUUGUACAUACUAGAAUUUACUUAACAUUCGUACCACCAUAUAUUAUCUACAUGUUAAAAGACUUGGAUAAACUCCAGGACUGAACAGCAAUCAGAAAGGUACCUUGCCUCGUAGAUGCAUAGCAUGGUUUGGAUUUAUGAUGAUUAUGAUCAUAUUUUAAUAAAUAUAUAUCUUACAGGCUGUGGCUACUUUUGGACCUCACAGAGGUAAGACUAAUGUCUCCACCAAUAAGAAUGAAAAGCAGCAGCAUAAUGCUCGAUCAGAAGAGGGAAAGUUGUUUUAUGAUGGAGAAUGGUACUGCCGUGGACAGACGAUUUGCAUUGACAAGAAAGUGCCAUAAUAACCAUGGCGAGGUGUGGUUUAAACGACUUGACAGCAGCAAAUCUAAGCUGUACAUAUCUCAACUCCAGAAAGGCAAAUACACCAUCAAACACUCCUAAUUCCACAGGUCAACUUGCACCACUCCUUGUCCCUCUCCAAAGCUCUUCAAAGACCCCCAUGGUGCCAUCUUUUGCCCAGUUUGAUAUUUUCUAUAGUACAAGGAAGUCUGAAUGGCGUGUUAUCUAUACUUAAAAGACAAUUUAUAUGAAAUACUCUCUUUUUGGGGGGGUUAAUUUGAAGAGAUAGGUUUGGGUCCUCUUAAUUGUAUCAUGUCACGUGUGUGUCUGUAGGUGUAAAUAUAAUUAGAGUGAGCUCCAAAAGUAUUGGGACUGAUACAUUUGUUGUUGUUUUGGCUCUGUACUCCAGCACUUUGGAUUUGAAAUGAUACAAUGAUUGAGGUUAAGAUGCUGACUGUCAGAUUUAAUUUGAGGGUAUUUUCAUCCAUAUUGGGUGAACCGUUUAGAAAUUAAAGCACUUUUUGUACAUA
Molecule: RNA transcript, 1812 nt
Organism: Coregonus clupeaformis (lake whitefish)
Lineage: Eukaryota; Metazoa; Chordata; Actinopteri; Salmoniformes; Salmonidae
Gene name: breast cancer metastasis-suppressor 1-like protein
Exons: 7
Source: RefSeq, a predicted model, not a curated record